UUUUGUUUUCGUGAUAGUCCACUUAAGUCCUUAUGGUUUACUUGUAUUUAAAAUAAUUUAUAUAUUUUAAAAAACAUAGCAUAUAAACCUCUUUCAUUAAGUUUGAGUUAAUAGACGUUAAAGUCUACUUACGUGAUAUGAUGACUUACAAUAAAUCAUUAAUAUAAAGACACGUAUAAUUUAAGUUUAAAAAAUGAUUACGGUCUAUUUUAGCCUUUGUGAUUUUUGUCAUGACUUAAGUCCUUAUGGUUCACUCAUGUUUAAAAUAACCUCUACAUUUAAAAAAAGAUAACAUAUAAGCCUCUUUCGUCAAGUCUGAAUUAAUAGAUAUUAGAAUUUACUUACGUGGUAUACUGACUCACAAUAAACCAUUAAUAUAAUGAUAAAUAUAAUUUAAAUUAAAAAAAAGGUUAAGAUCCAUCUAUUGAGGAAGCGACAGACGAAGACAAAGAGAUAGGGGCAGGAGAGGCUGGAGGCGGAAGUGAGUGAGAGUUGGACCACCACGUUAUAGGGGUGGCGGGUGAGGGUGUAGGAGAGGAUUAGGAGACCAUUGCGUGCACAACGUCAAAUCAGUCGACACACAUCCACCCGAGAUAGGACAGAAAGCUCUUGAGCUCGUUGUUAGCAAUGGAAAGACUACAUGUAUAUGAUACUUUGCUAGGUAGAAAUGGCUCAAUGCUGUGUGGUCGCUUCCAUGACGAUGUCUCAUCUCGUCAUUGAUGGUAAUCUCAAUUAUUUUAAAACUUAAAUUAUAUAUUAUUAUAUUAAAUAAUUUAUUAUGAGCCAACAUGCUACGUAAGUAAACUCUAACAUUUAUUAACUCAGACUUGACGGAAGAGACAUAUAUACUAUGUUUUUUUAAAUAUAUAAAUUAUUUUAAAUAUAAAUAAAUCAUUAGGGUUUAAGUGGUUUAUGAUCAAAAUCAUAAUAGUUAAAAUGAAUCUUUAACUUGUUUUUUUACUUAAAUUAUAUAUAUUAUUAUAUUAAUAAUUUAUUAUGAGUUAUGUUAUGUAAAAAAAAAAGAAAAAAAUAAUUUAGAUAUGAAUAAAUUAUAAAAUAAACCUUUUUAGCCCUAAAAUGUAUUCUUGUUUACCUCGCUUCGAACAUAACUAUUAUGUCAGCGAUUAGUUCCCACAGUCACCUUUUUCAUGGAAUUGACCUAAGAACCUGGAACGAUUGAUUGGCAGCACGGAAAGAGACAAUGGCUUUUGUGGUGCUGAUCAGGCGGCAUCUCUGUAGAUCUUGAGGCCGCGCCGUGAGGGCAGAGAGCUCCUCGUAAAACCCUCGACCGAUUGCCCUCUCGUCUGUUGUGUUCUCUUCGAUCAUUCUUCUUCUGCAUUUUACGGGUGAGUUUCGACGAAGCUUUGACGAAUCGUGCAUAUUCUUGUCUGUGUUCAUGUUGCUGGUUCGGAUUUUUCAUCUAAUGUGGUUGUAUGUCAUGAUCUAAUGUUUGGUCUGUCUUGCUUUCUGUUGUUGUUUGAGUUUGAAGACCACGAUUUGGACAGCUACCCCAAAUGGGGUAAAUGUUCUAAGCACAUUACCUAAUCACUGUGAGAGUCCACUAUUUCUCUCUCUGUUUUGGUUUUCUUUCUGUUGUCAUUUGGACAGCUACCCCAAAUGUGGUAAAUGUUCUGAGCACAUUACCGAAUCACUGCGAGAGACCACGACGAACGACGGCGACGACGUUCUGAGCACAUUACCUGUUCUGUUGUCGGGCGACGACGUCUUCCUCUCCGUCGGCGAACGGCGGCAUCUUCCUUCGGCGAGAGGCUUCCGUGCGAUCUCCGGCGGGCUGUUAUUCGGUAACUCUAUCUCGUUCUCUCUUCUCCUUCGUCAUCGCCCUCCUCCCCCUCCCCCGGACCCCGACGGAACCCCUCUCCUUCCUCCUCCGCCGUAGCCGCGUCCCCCUGAGUUCCCCCUCCUUAGCUGUCCCCCGAGUUGUUUCCGUGGGGAACGUUCUCUUUCCCCAUCUCGGAUAUUUGGUCCCCCACACAACCGGUUCUUUGUCCGCCCUCAGUAAAAUGUUGCAUAUGGAUUCCCACUCUGUGCGAUUCUAUUUUUGUUUUUUAUCCUCUGAUUGCUCGGCUUGCUCCUCCUCCCUGCUCUCGGAUCCUGGCAGCCCCUUCUCCUUCCUCCUCCUCCUCCUCCUCCCUCUUCCCCUCCUAACCGACAGAAACCCCUCCCAUACUCCAACAGCUCCCUCUCCCUCCUCCGCCUUCUACUCCUCCUCCCUGCUUCCCUUCCAACCGACAGCAACCCACCUCUCACAUACCCCGACAGCCCCCUCUCCUCCUCCAACGAGAGCUCCUUCCUUCCCUCCCAACUGACUGCAACCCCCUCUCCCUCCUCCGCCACCUAUGUUCUUUUUUUCUUUUUUGUUAAUAUAGCAUGUGAAUUUUGUAAAUGAUUGAAUUUGUCAUUGGCUCCUUGCUACUUCAUAGUUUUGUCACUUUUGUCAUUAUAUUUGGAUAAUAUAAUUUAUUACUUUAAAUGAAUCUAAUUUGAUGUAUUAUUUUUAUUUUAGUUAUCAUAUUUAUUAAUAAUGAUAUACAAUUUUAAAAUUUUAAUAUCCAGGGCACCUCGGUGCACUUGGGCGAUCGCUAGCAACUCAGGUGUUUUGGCACCUUGGCACCAAUUAGUUCCUAGCAUCUUUGACUACACUUGACUACACUGGUAAUAUUAUGUCUUGACCAUUGAGCUAUAACGGUGCUAAUUCAGAACUGUUCUCAUUACUGAUUUCGUUCUUUUAGAAAUCAUUGUUCAUUAGUGUGAAUUGGACCACCCAUUUAAUAGGAACAGUUUGACAGUAAAAGUGCAUGUUAAUUGUUUGCUUUGUUAGCAAAGUGAAAAACCUUUCUAAAUGGUCAACACUUCCAAUUAUAUUGGAAAAACAGUCUAAGUUUCCAUUCUUUAACUGGUUGUGUCUUUGAUCCUGGUAUUAUCAUUUACUUCAACAAGUUUUAGAUUGUAAAACCUUUUUCCCCUAGUGGUUAGCGUCUAAAAGAACUGGAUCUAUCUUAUCAUCUAUUUAAUCUUGCACUACACAUCAAAAGUUAUACUUGAUCCAUUGGAUAAUUAUUAUGCCUUAGGUCAUGUUUUUAUUCUCAAAUUGGCUCACUAGAGAAUCACAAUGUAGAUUUGUUAAUCUAUAUAAACUUGAUAUGCUGUCUUAUCUAUAUACCAUGGUGCGACUGUAAUAAUAUGUUCCAGAGUAUCUGUAUCCAAUAUAUGGCAUAUCAAAUGAACUAAAUUUAAGAAACUUAGCAAAUUUUAUGCUGUGUGAUUAUGCAAAUUGAAUGCUAUCUAGUAACAGAAAUAUAUAUUGAGAUGUAUGCGAGGGCAAUCAGUGAGAGAAACUAUAGGGGGUGUUGGUAAAUAAUUUGUCAAUGAAACAUAUACCAGCUGCAGCAAUUUAAUUUUCAAAAAUAUAGAAAUCUGCAGAAAUUUUCCUUUUUUUACUUUUCACAAAAUUAUCAAUACAUAUAGACGGAUACAUACUUAUAUGGUCAAGAUAUAUUAAUUUGAAUGUGGCCAGAAUCAAUUUUUUUAGGCAACAUGUAGGACAUGCAUGAAACCACAAUUACAUUUUCAUGUAUAUACCAAUUUGAAUCUAGCCUAGAAUCAUUUUUUCAGACAACAUGUGGGACAUGCAUCAUACCACAAUUGCAGCUUUGUGACAUGCCUUUAGCAAUAGUUCCUCUCUGAUAUUGAUUGUUCUGACUCAACCUGAUAACCUACUAACCCAAGCCACUUUUAUUGUCCUUAUGAUUGUGCCUGUGGUCUCUGGCCAUUCUUUUGAAAUACAUUUGAACUUGAAUAUGAAAUGUUUUCUGAAGCCGGGACUCAGAAUAUGAGAUACUUAUAUUUUUUUUGGAAGUCAAAUGAGUUAAUCAUAUUAUUUUUGGUUUGAACUAAUAUGCUUGUAAUUUUUUAGUUGAGUGACCUUCAGAUUUCUGAAUUAACUGCAUUUCUCACAUAUUUAUGUACACUUAUUUUCUUGUUCUUGGUUACUAAUGGUUAAAAAAAAAAACUUUCUAACAUAUUAAAGCACACUACUUUUUAGAGAUAUGCAUUUUCAAGGACACAAGAGGAGGAAAAUUAACAAUGAGGAUAGCAACGAUAAUUGCAUAUCAAAUUUGAAAACUCCACCUCUUAACUAUGGAAAGAUUGGAGGCUCUUCUAAGGUUAUUGACUACUCAAAUGAUUUUGCUUUAACCAAUCUUCUGGAAAGGUUAGAAGAUGGUAAGUAUGGGAGUGUAACCAAAGAAUAUGAAGCUCUUCAUUCUCAGAGGAUGCAGGUAAUCAAUUUUUUAUCUGCGUUACAGCCAAGUAUAGCAUCUAGAACUUUUCAGGGUGGUGGAAGCACUUCUACUAAUUUAUCAACAAGGCAGAAUCAGAUGAAGUCAGGUCAACAUGGUGAUAACUUAUCUCAUGAUAUAAUCGAUCUGGAAGUUGAUACCAUGGAAGGUGCUGCUAACCCUGUCAGAAUACCUGUAGAACAGACACAGGAUGCUGUUGGGAAUAUCUCACUACAUUCCAGUGAUUUUGAGUCUGUAACGCGGAAGGGAAAGUUAGAUGCUGCACGUGGCCCAUUGAAUACACCCCCAGUAGAUGAAGACAACAAAGAGGAAACCACAGUCAUAAUUGUAGAUUCAGACGAAGAAGAUGCAAGCCAUCAAGGCAAAACAAAAUAUGAUUGCCACCCUGAUCAUGAGGUCUUGGAAUUUGGAGCGUCACUGGCAAGUCAAAUCCAGAAGCACAUAUCACGAGCCAGCAAGUUAGCACAAGAAGUUAACUUGUAUCAACUAGUUCCAUAUGACCAAGGAAUUGGAAGAUCAGUGUGUACUACUAAUUUUAAACCAAACUGGCAGCCUUCUGUUCAUUUUGAAAAGGUGGUCUUACAGACAGUCGAUGAGAAGCAGCGGUUUCAAGAUGUUGUUGUAAGUAUUCGGUGUAUUACCUUGAAGCAAUUACUUCAAUUUGCACAGAUAUGAUGUGCAUGCGUGACCAUCUCUUAACCUUCAUGUCCCUACAAUGUUACCUUUACUUGCCAAAAAUGUACAGUUAUUAUAUUUGGAAAGGACAUAUAGAAAAUUGAAUUCUACAUUAUUUGACCUAAAGAAAGUGGUGACCCAAGUCAGAUCUGGAUGUUUUGAACUAGAUAAUUUGACGGUGCAAGAAAAACUUAUAAAAACUCAUGUGCAUUCUUUGAAGAAGAAAGGUUUUCAUUUGCAUAGAUAUUUUAGCUUGACCCCUUCUUGUUGACAUACUGUUUCUGGUUAAUUCUCAGAAUUAUUCGUGAUAUCGUCUAUCUCAGUUUCAUGAUAUUAAAGAUUGAAACACAAUCUUUGUCAUAUGCCAUAUCUGUGUAGUUAUGCAGUCUGUAGCAGACAUCCACUGAGAAUGCAUGCCAAUUAGCUCUCUAGAAAUGAAAUAUACUAAUAAUUAUGGGUGAAUUUAUACUGAAAGUCCAUCAACUAGGAACCAGCUGGUAUUUUAACUUGGUUGUAUGUGCCCAUAUGUAGUAUUUUCUAAAUGUCUAGAACAAUUCUCUUCAAAUAAAGAAGGAUCAUCGGUUACAUUUCAUAGAAACAAGCUGGAUCUUGCAGCAAAUGGACAGUAAAUCUGCAAAAAGUUGACAGGCUCAAGGAAGCUAGAAAUUGUUGUCUGAACUUCGAAAAGAAGUAUUCAUGAAAUUUGAGUGUAAAAUAACAUGUGAUUAGUAGAUACUCUGGUUCUUUGUCUUUGAAAAUGAGGUUCAUGAUAGUAUCUUAUCUUCUAGUAACUCAGGGGCCAAAGUGAAAUAAUAUGUUAAUGUAAAAUGGGGUAACUCCACAUUGUGUGCUUUGGAAUGGCCAUAGUUCUGUAACUUUUCUUUGUGGUGUUCUCCUAGGAAUGAGAUAGAAACAAAAGCUACUGGAACUUUUGAUUCUUUAGGAAAUAAGGUGUCCUUCAAGAAAGAAAAGGGAGAGAAGAGAGAGACGAAAAGAGAAGAAAGAUAAAGAGGAACUCUAUAACAGCGAGUAUUAUCAAGUUUAGAACUCGAUUUUAUAGUCCUGAGGGCCAUAGAUCAAUUUUAUUUGUGGACUCCUUUUCAUUGUAUCUGAUACCUAUGUCAUACAGGAUUAAUAGGGCCUGGAUGAUCAUCCAAUGUUGACCUUCUGGUGCUGGUCGCAUAGCCUUGGAUGACCAGGCUUAGGUCACCCUUCUUAGUCUCUAACUAGGAGUCCAAAAAGGCUUAAACUCAUUUGAGUUGACCUUCCUGUGUGAUUUAUUGUCAAUUUGACUAACUUUGGUGCAAACUCAAAGUGAAAGAAGGUUGUUUGGACUGCUGUCGUCCUACCUCCAAUAGACUAGGCCUUGUUACCCGGUCAAUCCCUAUACAAUUAUAGUGACCUCUGGAGGUGCCACUUGUGUAGCAUCUCCAUCGUAUAUGCAACACUUCUUAAAUUAGCAUCUAUUACAACUUUCUUUGGUAUUUCUUAAGCUCUGAGACAUGGAAGGGAUCAUGGAUGUAAGCAUUUACUAUCAACUGGAACCUAUAACCUUUUGAUCCUAUAAGUGUACAACCACAUUGAAUGGGCCAUAGAAUCGAAGACAAUUUGUGCUAUGGCUUGUUUUACCCAGAAUGGCUCUAUCUAUGGUAUCUUGGUAGCUUUAAUACAACCCAGCUACCCAUUUAAUAUUCUUUCUCCUUUUGCAACCAAGUUAGGUAAGGAAGGGCAGUAGCCCCAAACAUACUGCUAUGCAACCAAGGGCUUGUCAGCCAGCAGUUUUAUACUCCAAGAAGGAGUUCUAAAAGGCUUAAAUCUUCAUUUCAAUUGUCCAUCUCCCAGUGUCAUUUGGAGUCAAUCUGGUAAGUUUGGUGUCAUUAGGACUUUCCAAUUGAAGAUAAGGCUGUACUAUUUUGUCUCAGUCCUAGUCUUUUGUAGAAAUUUGAACUUUGUUGACUGACCGAUCAGUCAAAUUAUGAUAAUAUGGGACUGCUGCAACUAGAAAUGUCGGACAAGUCAAAACUUGUUUACCCAGAUAAAACAUAAUCAAGUUCUCUGAAUCAUGCUGCACCAGAUAAAGAGCUUACAUUGAAAUCUUGUUGAUGCAACUUUUUCGUGCAAAUAAGAAAGCCUGAUAUUAUAUUCUGAAUAAUUUAAUCAUGCUUGUGGUGAGGCUCUUAUCUUUUGCUUGUUCUUACUUGAGAUGCUUUUGUUACCUAUUCGAGAUUUAGAAAACCACCUCGAUACAUAUAUUUUGUGUUUCCAUAUCACUUCUAUGAGUUUCUAGGUUUAUUUUUAUCAGUGAUUUUUUCAAGAAAUUUGCAUCUAACUUCCUGCUUAAAUCCUGUUCCAAUUUUUUUAGUUGAGGCAGAAGCAAUUGCCAUUUAUGAAGUUAGUUCAGCUAUAUAAUAUUUUUAUUGAUUUUGCAUUGCAAGAUUAUGAUAUUUGAUUUUAUGCUUGUGCAUCAUUUUAGGAUGAAAAGAAUAUGGAAAUGAGAUGUGAGAGACAAGCUGCUGAAGCUCCUAAUGUAGUAAAGACUCUGUAUUCUAAUGCUGAAAUGAAUAAAGAGAAGGAAUGUGAUGGCAAUCCAAAAUUUGUUUCCUCUACGGCAAUCAAAGAUAUCUCAUCAGGCAUGGGAAGCCUUUAUGAAGUUGACAAAGUAUCAUCACAAAGUGAUGGUCUGGAAGAUCUUUGGAAAGACAUGUCAUUAGCAAUGGAAUAUUCAAAGGUUAUUAUGUUGCUAUUUUCUAUUUCCUUUGUUGCAUAUUCUUUCACAAUUAGCUUUGUAUUUGUGGUUUAUUUUGCAAUUUCCAUGUUGCAUCGUUGAACAAAAAUGACUUUCCUUCAGGUAACUACUUUUCUAUAGGAUUAUAUUUGAGUUAAUUAAUAUUUGAAGAACUGUAGGGUGCAGGUGCUUGUAUUGAUGAAAAACUAAUUAAAUGAAUAAUUGAAAGGUCCAGAUUUAGUCAGUUUGUUUACCAUGAUCUAGAGAAUUAUACUCAAGUUUCUUCCUGCAAGAGUCAAUGAACUUAAGUGACAAGGCCUUUUAAUUCGAUGCUAGUCAUGGGCAAGUGCUUGAAGUCAAACCUAUCAUCUUUAACAAGUUAUAUUAUUACAGCAAGUAAUGUAGUGGCUUAUAACCUUUAAGGAGUGAGCUUUCUUAACAUGGUCUAAAAUGCUUCAACGCUUACUGUCUUAACAUAAAGAUCCAUUCUUUCUUUGUUAUCCAGUGGAACAAUAUUGAGGUGCCCAUCAACCAAAUCUUCCCCACUUGUAUCCUUAUGAUGAUCAUCCUUGUUAGGUCCCCAGUCACAUCCUUGAUGACAUCUUCUUUGUCAGGUCAGUAGUAGCUUAGGAUGUUUGUUUGGGCUCCCUUUUUGGGACUUCAGACUUUAGAUUAAGCCCCUGUUAUUGCAUCCACAAGGAAACCUUCACCAUGAUUUAUGUUAUUUGUGCACCAUGGAUGUGUCCUUGCACAAGUUUCAAGUAGUGAAUACAUGGUCGUGUAAUAAUUUAUUCUUUUUUCUUUGUUAUCAAACUAUUAUAUUACGGCAUAUAUCCUCAUUGACAUUUAUAUAAUUACUAGUAAUGGAUUUGUAUUGGGAUUCAAGUUCUCUCACUUUUUCCUUUACCACAUACUUUUAAUAGCAUGAUACAUGUAGAAAUUAUAAACUGUUUGAUACUAGAACUUACAUAACAGAAGCUAAAAGAUUCAAAUUUGUUAAAAGGUAUGAUAUCAGUUUAUUGGGUACUAUAAUGACGUAUACCACCUAAUAUUAUUGAAUUAAUAAUAAAAAACAAAUACGAAUUGGUAGCUAGAUAUAUGUCAUAGCACUGAACUAUAUGGUCAGAUAUCAUCAUUGGUCAGACCGGUAAUACUAGCCGGUAUACUGGUCCGACAUAUACUUGAGAUUAGUCAAGUAUAAAUUGAUCAGCCAAGUAUACUCAGCGUAUGCUAGAACAUGUCUAUUUGAGAUUAGUCAAAGAAGCCAUAGCGUCAAUUCGAUUAUAGAUUUUAUGAGCAUAUCCUGUAUGAUAUAUGUUGAAGUUAAUCCAGAGAGUGCCAUAGGGUUGUAAUGUCUUUUUGUAGGUUCUAUAUAAUUCUCAUCAACAUACAUCAAACUCAAUGCUUUUCCUUUAGUCUUAUUGAUUAUCUUUUCUUUUGUAUCUAGAUUGAUACAUCAGAUGAUCAAGCACUUGUGCAACAAGAAGAAGAAUGUAACCAUUCGUACUUGCUCCAAGAUGACUUUGGCCUUGUUUGUCGUAUUUGUGGAGUUAUUCAGAAGAGGAUAGAUACAAUAUUUGAUUUCCAGUGGACGAAGGUAUGUGCACCAAUAAUACAUACAUUACUUCUUGUAGAGAGAUUUUUUCUGCGUACAUGUUUGGAUACUUAUAUUCAGCAAAAUUUUAUUCAAUCAAUAACAUCUCUCCUAUACUUUCUAUAAUUAGGCCUUGAAGAGUGUAUCAUCUGUAAUUGUAAAUGCAUUCUUAAGCAAUCGUGCCAUUUGACAUCUUGUAGUGUUUGUCUCUAUCAGGGAUCACGACAUGAUACAAUUGGUUUAGAGGUAGAAUAGCCUUAUAGAAUAGGUUCUACUUUCAAGUUAACUUAUUGCCAUUGUUGUCCUUUACAUUAUACCACACUAUUGACAAAUUUGCUUUGAACACAUAGGGGCUAAAUUAUAGGUGUGAACAUCAAUACCACCUUGUGCUAGUCCACUGAUGCCAAAUUUGGUGAGUGCCUACUAUCUAUUAAAGCUAAUGGUGCAUAAUGUUAAUGCAUCUUGCUAACCUUAAUCAGCUAUGGGAUUUCUUGUAUAAUGGUCCUAACGGGGACGUUACCAUUUGAAUGAGGGAGAUUGUGAUGCUCUGAUAAUUGCAAACUGAUACAAGAGAAAACAAAAAGUUUUAAAGAGGCAUAUGGUUGGCAACCUAGGUUAAUAAUGUUUGGUUCAUUUCAGUAGGCCUACCCCAUGUAAGGUAUUUAGAUAGUAGGCUGUUUAGGUUUGUUAUACAUGUUAUGCAAGUGGUAGAUAUGGGGCUUGUAGUGCCUGAAAUUUCCUUUUACUAGAGUUUAAAUUAUGGGCAUUGUGAUCUAAUCUACAUGGGCAAAGGAGUAUAGUGUGAUACCCUAACAAUCCAUCAUCAGAGAUGCAAAAGAGAGGGAUUUGUGCAACUCAAGUUUACCACAACUAGAAAAUUGUAUCAGAAUUUUGCGGCACAUAGUGGCAGCUCGAAAUUGUUAUAUGUUAUUGACAAUUUAGGAUAGUAGUUGAUUGUAUUGAUCCCUUUGUGUGAUAUCUCAACUAAGAGGAGCUUACAAAGAUGCACCGACACAUCUCCAACUAACUAGCUUGUCUAGAGGAGCUACCUAAAAGAACCUCAAGUCCAAUUAAAUAGUAGUUCAUUAUACUAGUUGAAAAUUGUAAGCUGAAAUCCUUUCUAUAUUUCUUGUUCCUCCAGUCAUGUUGCCUUUUCCUGAUAAGAUCAUUUUCUUGGGUUUCCAUUUCCUUAUGUAUCAUUUUGUUUCAUCAUCUUUUUUUUUUCUUUCUAUUUCAUACCAUGUUCCUUAAAUCUGAAGUUCUAUUUGGGAAUAGACAAAUUGUCCAAUUGUGUUGCUUUUGCUAGUUGAACCAUAUCAUGUUAAAACAAUCAUAUUAGAGCAGCUGCUGAUUGUCAUUGUUUAAUGCAUGGAAAUAUUAUGGUUGUGAAUAAUGAUUUCAAUAAAUUCUAGCUUCUCAUGUAAAAUGUUUUAGCAAUUUUUGUUCAUGAAAUGUGUAUUAUCAGUUGUCUUGCUGUUUCCUUCUCAGGGCUCACGUGCAACAAGGACAUACUUGACUGGACCAGGGAACUCCAAGGAUCUAGUGGCUCACUACUCUGGCCUUGAAGUUUCAGAGGAUGAUUUUAUUGCUGCCGAAUUAUCUAUUCAUCCAAGGCAUCUGAAGCAAAUGAAGCCGCAUCAGCUAGAAGGCUUCAAUUUCUUGGUUAAGAACUUGGUUACAGAUAAACCAGGAGGAUGUAUUUUGGCUCAUGCGCCGGGGUCUGGGAAAACCUUCAUGCUUAUAAGCUUCAUCCAGAGUUUCUUGGCUAAGUAUCCAUUGAAGAAGCCUUUGGUUAUCCUUCCUAAGGGUAUUUUGCCUACAUGGAAGAAAGAGUUCCAACGGUGGCAGGUUGAGGAUUUACCCAUCUAUGAUUUCUACUCCUCUAAAGCUGAUAACAGAUCUCAGCAAUUGGAAGUGUUAAAGCUUUGGCAAGAGAAUAAAAGCAUUCUUUUUUUGGGUUAUAAACAAUUUACGAAUAUCAUUUAUGAUAAAGAAAACAGCAAGGUCUCUGCUGCAUGUCGGGAAAUGCUGCUGAAAAUCCCCAGCCUUCUGAUAUUGGAUGAAGGCCACACUCCAAGAAAUGAGGACACAUUCGUGCUUGAUUCACUUGCAAAGGUGCAGACUCCUCGAAAAGUAGUACUUUCAGGAACCCUAUUUCAGAAUCAUGUUAGGGAGGUCUUCAAUAUUUUGAAUCUUGUGCGCCCUAAGUUUUUGAGGAUGGAGACUUCCCGAGUCAUUGUCAAGCGAGUCCUAAGUAGAAUAUAUAUAUCAGGAGGUAGAAAACUCUCUAAGAGUAGUGUGGACAACGCUUUCUAUGAUUUGGUUGAGGAAACACUGCAGCAUGAUGAGAAUUUCAAAAGAAAAGUUACUGUUAUACGAGACCUUCGAGAAUUAACCAAGGACGUUCUUCAUUAUUAUAAGGGUGAUUUCUUGGAAGAGCUGCCUGGUCUCGUGGAUUUCACUGUCCUCUUGAACCUCAGUGCUAAGCAAAGAGUGUAUGUUCAAAAACUUGCCAAGUUUGAGAAGUUCAAAAGAACCUCUAUGGGUAGUGCUGUCUAUAUCCAUCCUCACUUGUAUGACACAGCAGAAAAGGCUUCUGGGGACAGGGUCGCAUUUUUCAACGAUGAUAAGAUCGAUAGCUUGUUAGAAUCUCUUAAUAUCAGAGAUGGGGUUAAAACAAAAUUUUUCCUCAACAUUUUGUCUCUGGCUGAAUCUGCUGGAGAGAAACUACUUGCUUUCAGUCAAUACAUUCUACCUCUAAAAUUUUUGGAAAGGCUAAUAGUUAAAACCAAGGGUUGGCAUUUAGGAAAAGAAAUUUUUAUGAUAUCUGGUGAUUCGACUUCUGAGCAAAGAGAGUGGUCGAUGGAGCAAUUUAACAACUCCCCUGAUGCUAAGGUUUUCUUUGGUUCAAUCAAGGCUUGUGGGGAAGGCAUCUCACUUGUAGGUGCAUCUAGAGUUGUGAUCUUGGAUGUUCACUUUAAUCCAUCUGUCACCCGCCAAGCUAUUGGGCGUGCAUUUCGGCCUGGCCAGCUGAAGAAAGUAUAUAUUUACAGGUUAGUUGCAGCUGAUUCUCCGGAGGAGGAAUUUCAUUAUACCUCCUUUAGCAAGGAGUUCAUCUCAAAGAUGUGGUUCGAGUGGAGUGAGUAUUGUGGCCAUCAGAACUUUGAGUUAGACGAGGUUGAUUUGGCUAGCUGUGAAGAUUUGUUCUUGGAAAGUCCUAUCAUAGGAGAAGAUAUCAAGGCGGUGUACAGAAGGUUAGUUCCCGUACUUGGUCUACGUCUGAGUUAUAUUUUUUACUGCAUUCAAAUGCAAUUUUUGCAUGUUGUUGAUUGACGUUGAUACGAUAAUACAGGUGAUUCUUUGGCUGAUGCGUGGGAGAGCAUACGACAGAUUGUAGGAUCUUCAGAUGGUCUGACAUUGUACAUCAUACCAACUCUAAUUUUCUGACCUUGCAGUCUUUUUCUAUAAUGCACAAUUUUCAUAUCUAGAAGUGAUAAAUCAUGUUCUUCCCAUGUUCAGGUCUUCAUGGUACUUGCUGGUCACAUUAUGAACUCUCCCUUUUCAAGAUACAUGUAAAAGUUUGACUUGUUGGCUGUUUGAAUCGACUGCAAAGCUACUAGAGAGAUGAUCGUUGCUGGCGUUCUACUUCUCUUGAUGAUGUGUAAAAAAGAUGUGUUCAUGGUUGCUGAUAUCUGUUUUGUUCUUGUUGGUGACUGUUUGUCAUCGAGAUGCAUUAAUACUAUCUACCAUUUUGUUGAGUGUGCUGUUGAGCUCGCACUGUAGAUGUUUUGGGAUCAAUAGCCCCUCUAAAUGCAAGACGUGUAUAUAAAAUGACUUGUCAAUGGCUAAUGCCAAAUAUUUUGAUACAAUAUCGCCAUCUACAAGUUAAUACUGUCUGAUGUUAAGUCGAAUAUAUAUAUCCUUUUGGUCUACAGCUGUUGCUUAUACCCUGCCGUGUUGCCAUCAUCUCCCCAUUUCUUGGUGUUCCGUCCUGUGAGUGUUGUAGCAGAGACUUGAAACUCGUUCAUCGAAAGAAUGCGUCUAUCCUCGUUUCAUGGCGAAGGUGAAACAUUUUUAUUUGGUUUAAUGUUAUUUAUUUAAGUUUAUAUUUUUCUUAUUUACACAAGCACUUCGUAAUCUAAGUUUGGGUAUAUCUUGAAUUAAUUUAUAAAUUAUCUCCUGUAGUUAAUUAUUUUUAAUAUUUCAGUUUCAUUGAUAUUUUUAUUAUUAUGAAAGUAAAACAUCUAGAUUUAUUUAUUUUAAUAUUAUUAAUUUUAUGAAUAAAAAAAUAUAAAAAUAAAGUUUAAAAAUAUAAUUUUAAUGUUUCAGUUAAUGAUGGUGGACGAUAGAUAGUAUUGGUGAGAGUCGUGGGUAAUUGUCGUGGAUGAGGAAAGCGACAACGAAAGAUGAAUAUCGUUUUGCAUUUACGUCAAUAUUGACAUAAUUAUCGAUUGACGAAAGGGUUGCUCAGUAACUAUGUCAACAUCGACGUAGAUAUAAAACGACUAUCAACUCUUCUCAUCCACAACAACCAUCGAUAUAAAGCGCCUAUCGAGUGAUGUCGUCAUUUGCUACCAUCGAUAUUGUCCGUUGCCACCAAUUAGAAUGUUAAAAUUAUUUUUUAUUUUAUAUUUUAUAUUUUUAAUAAUAAAAUCGAUAUUGUUAAAAUAAAUAAAUUUAAAUAUUUUAUUUUUAUAACUAUAGAGAUCUCAAUAUAAUUUUUUUAAAUAUAAGACUUGAAAUAUUAAAAACAAUCAACUACAUAUAAGACUUGAAAUAUUAAAAACAAUCAACUACAUAUAAGACUUGAAAUAUUAAAAACAAUCAACUACAUACCUCAUUAUAAGCCCUUUGACAUGACGACAGACAAAGCAUCUUUACUUGGUAAGUUUAUACAUUUUUGAUUAUCAACUGCGAGAUGGACAUAAUUUUUAAGAUCUUGGUAGGCUAAUCAUCUUCUUCUUUCUAAUUCCCGAAUCACCCCUGGUAGAAUCUCCAAGCCUACAGCUUGUGAGAUGUUAGAGAGAACCUGUGAUUAAGAAUUCCUAUAAUAAGCUAAAAAAUGACGUAUAUAUAAUAAUAAGAUAAAAUUUUUUAGUGUUUGUUAUUUAUUUUUUACAUGGCUUGAUGAGAGGUACUAAUACGAAAAUAGAAUGUUGCUAUAUAAAAUUGCCAACGUGCUCGAUAGCUUACAAUAAGUUCUCUUCCUGGAGGUUCAAACAUUUUCCUUCCUGGAAACAGAACUCUUGCAUGUCAUUUCACUUCUUGAAAAUAAGAAUAAGAACAGGGCCAGUUGGUCGAUUAAGCAUUUCCAAUUUAAAGCUUGCCCAGGAUUCAACGGGCAGACCAGAUGCAAAACCUUGGAUGCUCUCCAGUUCAUCCCUGCAUAAUGAAAUAUAAACAACAUCAUAAAGCAUCUGAAUUCAUUCGUUAAUGCAUGCUAUAGUUCAUCGUGUUGUUUGGUUGUAUACACUCAAGCUACUAAAGAGCUAAAGCAACAACAAAGUUCAAUAUGAGAGGGAGUAACUAGUGACUGAAACUAGGAAAAUAACUACGCCUUGGAAAGUAGGAACCUCCAUAAGGUUAUGCAUUAACAUUAAAAGAAAGGAGGACACACGAUAUUGUAAAUGAUGAAUCACACACUGUGCCUUCAUCACGAAGUUUGCAGGCUGUACUUGAAGGUAAUCAUAUAUACCUAAAAGAUGAGACUCUGCUCUUUGAAUUGUGAAUUACGACAAAAUUCAGAAUGUUAGGUUGCUCAGGCUGCAGAAAAAUCAAAAGUAAAACAUUUACCUUCCGCCUGGAUGUCCAACAUAGACCAUGACGCUGAUAAGUCCUCCAGACCCCAGUACCCUACCAGCAGCCUGCAAUGCUGCCAGCGUUGUUCCUGGCGUUGUAAGAAUUGCUUUGUCUCCCCCUGGCAGAUAGCCCAAAUUGAAUACCACAAGUCUGAAUUGUAACAAGCAGAAAUUCUUGUGAACAAUAAACGGAUGUAAAACCAGGAGGUUACUUCAGCAAAAAAGAAAGUUUAAGCAAAAUUAAAACAAAAAAAUAAUAUUUCCUAAAACACAAAACAAGAGUGAUCUAAAAUAAAAUGUCUUAGUGAUGCUGCCUGGCUUAAGCAUAUACCAAUUCUUUUUCAUGUACCCCAAAUUAUAUCCUUGGUAGCUCACUUUAUGUUCUUAUAGAAAAAUUAAACUUUUUCGGAAUGGCAGGGUCCAGAUUCCAGAAUUCAACAUUAAGAUUUUACUUGCUCGAAACUAACAUACAAUAAAUACUCUGGAACCUGUUCCCGAUAUAGUUAGAAAUAAAUUAAUCUGAUAACAUGGAUUAAGAUCAGCAACUUAAUGUGUGAGAAUAAUAAGCUCAGUUUGAAAAUGUAAUCACACUUUUAGUAGCACUCUUAGUCAUUUGAGACAAGAUCCCUUAAUAAAAGCUCUUGCUCUAAAUUGUAGCUAAAUUGAUCAUGGACCAAAGGGAGUCUUCCAUAAUUCCAACUUGCAGCAAAGUCAGGCAGUUUCAGCCUUUCUUGAGUAGCUGGCCCGAAAUGGGUUCUACCAAAAUCCCUUCACACAUUGGGAACAUCAAACAACUUGAACCAAUCAAAAUCUAUUCUUGAAGGUGUGCAUGUCAUGACAAAAGUACAAUCAAAACCAACACCUUAAAGUCACCUCAAGUAUGUAUAUGUAAAUAUGCACACAUAUACAGACGGAUACAUGUAUAUACAUGUAGUGAUUCUCUAAAUAACAAUGUCAAAAAGACAUAUCAUGUUUAUGGUAACUUGAAGAGAGUGCUCGAGCUCAUACUACAACAAUUGAGUUAUUUUUCUUCACAAAAAAUACAUGACAAAUUCAUGCUCUACAUAGGUCAAUGCUGUUAUGGGAUUGACAAGGUCACUACUGAAAAUAAUGGUAUGUAUGACAGCACAUAUGGGUUUCCAAUAAUAGUAACUGAGUUCAAAUAGCUGGGUUACCUGACAGAGUUGUCAUUUUGAACAAUAUCUUCCAUUUUGCUAUGACAAAGCUUCAAGAGCUUCACUAGUUUCCUCUACCAUAAAACAAGUCAACUGUUACUUGUAGCUCAGUGGUAUCUAAAAAUGGAAAAGCAGUUCAAAAGUACAACAAAAUCUAAUUUCAAGAUCUUGGUCCAAGAACUAUCAAAUAAGAUUUUUUUCUUCAAGACUAAAUUUCUCAGCAAGAGAUAUCAUUAUUCGCUUGAAAAAUGGAAUAAAACAAGUGAGAAAUAUAGUUGUAAAAAUUUUAGCACCUUGUUUUCCUCAACUGAUAUUUCCAGUAAAGCAGAAGUGUUGUCCAAUGCUUCUUGCUGAAUGUCCAUUCCAUAAACACAACCCCUGCCAGAUUCACCGGCUACCAUUGCGAGCAAUGCCAGCGUGUCAUAACCAUUGCCGCAUGUUGCAUCAAUUACAGUGUCUCCUUUCUGAAUGAUAUUCUUCCACACCCUAAUAAACCACAAGAAUGAAAGCAGAACGCAAUUAUCAGCAUAUUUGUUAUUCAUAUAACAAACUGAAUAUUAAGGUAUUAGCAGUUUGUUCAAUACUCCCUUGUGCCUUUGUUUGCAACUCCACUAUGCUCACAGGAAAUGGGAGACGAUGCAGCAAUUUAUUUAACAAGAUAAAAUACAGUUAUUCCAAAAAGAAAUUAGGAGACCCACAUAAUUAUAAACAAGAAAUUAAUUUCAGAAUUAAUUGAAGCUAUUAACAUAGGAACUAUAUAUCUUUGAUGCUCAUGAUUGUGAUAAAAGAUAUUUUUGUACCAAAAAUAAUUUAGAAAAGGACUGUAAGCCCAGAAAGUACUUAAGCAUGAUCACCAGCUUCAAGAGAGACAAGACUGACUACAGGAUUGGCACAAGAUUAAUCUGUAUAUGAAAGGAAGCCAAGCAACCCAAUUAAAUCUCAUUUUUAAGGCCUUACAUAUACAUUAGCUGAUAGAAAGUCUAAGGUUUAUCAGUAUGUUCUUUUCUAUGCCUAUACACAGAGAACACUUGAUAAUUGGUGACUUGUGUUGCUAUUUCCUAGACCCAUUUUGCAGAAUAAUAGUUACUUGCAUAUAUCCUAAACCUUCCAGUCCUAUCAAUGGAUAAAUAGGAAAAGGCAAAUAACAGGGUAACAUUAUGAUACAUCACGUCCCUUUGACUUAGAACUCAUCAUUGAGAAGUGAACAAUAGGUAACAGUAGUGCCACCACCAUGGGUUUUAAGAUGGCCCAAAUAACAUACAUACUGAUACUGAAGACAUGGAACCAAUCAUCCCCCCCGCAUUAAACACACAGGAAAAAUAUCAAAAGAACUAUGUUAUUGGAUUGAAAAAUCAAGAAAAAAAUCUGCUUCAAUAAAAUUCAAAAGGUUAAUUGUGCAUUCAUGUCACUGUAUCGUAAUUCUCGGUAAGAUGCUACAGGCUCCAUAUAUUUUUCAAAAGGGUUUUGGUAAACUAUGUCAGGGAUAAGUAGCUGGUGAGAAGCAGGUACCAGACUUUUAAACUUCGGUGCAAGAAAAUCCUCCAAAAACCAACUUUACCCCAAAACCACAAAUUUGCAUCCUGAUGACAAGCAGAAAACCUAAUUUCUAAAAUACUCCUUUAUCACUAACGUCUGGACAUAUCAUCCUGACAACUGGGAAUGUUAGAAAAUCUGCAUCAAGUUUAUGAAUUGGGAUAUCUAGUUAUACUCAAUAAGCAUGUAAAUCAGAAAUCCUUCAAGAAUUUUUCCAUUGACAACAUAUCGAAAACCAUCAAAAGGAAAAAUAAGAAAGGAUCGUUGUACCUACGAGUGAGCUACCUCCGUUGCUUUCUUCCUUCCGGUGAUAAAACCCAUAAAAGCUUCCUCCAUUCCUAAAUUCGAAACAGAUUGAUACAUAGUGAUAUUUUAUCAUCAAAAGGAGAGAACAGUGGCCACAAUUGCUCAUAUAUUAGUUUGCGGGUUGCAAUAGAAGAAACAUGCACUACAUCAUAAAGUACCGGCGAUAGGGAACUCUUUGGCGCCGGAUUUUCGUGAGGAACCCGUCGAGAGCUGAGCCUUCAACGAUAUGCUUCGACGAAAUAAAGAUCGGAGAGGAGAUGGGGCGGUAAACCUUCGGAAAUGCGGCGAGAUUAAGGUUAGGGCUUCCAUUUUGGGAGGUUGUGAAAGAGGUGAUUGCGUGGACGAAAUGGCAGAACUCGAUGUAAUACCGCGAUGGAGUGUUCAGAAUAAUCCACGUGGUCUAAACUGACGGCUAUGAUUGCAUCGACUCAUUGCUCACCUCUUACAUUCGGACAGCACAGUUUUUAAGAUUAUGUGUAUAUAUAAAAUAAAAACUAAAAUAAUAUAAAGUAUGAUAGAAUAAUCUAAAAUUCGAGGGAAAAAUAACCGAUAUUCAUGAAAAAAAAUCUCAUAAUUAUUAGUACAAAAUAAAAUGUUAUUUAUUAUUAUCUUUUAAAGCAUUAGUGCAAACGAAAUAAAAAGAAUACACUGCCGUAUGUCCAGAAAUAAACUACAAAAUCUUGAAUGCAGUGAAGUAAACCGGAGAAAAGGGUCCAAUUUUUUCUUGCAAAGCAAUUUUACUUUAAUCUUAUUGGUUCUUAGUUCACUUUAUUUUAAUCGUCAAAUUAUUUGCCCCAUUAUCAAUCGCUACACUUUUCUCUUUACCUUCGUAUAUUCUUGGAUUUCUUCAUCAUCGGGUAUUCGCUUGUGGUACGUGAAUCAGAAGGCUGUGUGCGGCGGCGCAGCAUGAGAUGCAUCCAAGAUUCAGUGUGCCAGAGAGAUGAAGUUGCUAUUUAUAGUGCAAAUUUAUUCUCUAGUAAAUGGUGCCGAACAUACGAUAAGAACGGUGGGCAUCACGUAUACUGAAACAGACUCUGGACGUCCGCUCCUGCACGUAUAUAUAGUAGCGAGCAUGCAAGAUAACUACUGCAGUGUUCCUGAUGGCCAUCACGGGGCUUCUGCAGGUGCCGGAGCGAGGAAGGGAACGGCGGGCACAGUUGGGAUGGAAGGCAUGACCGGGAUGGAGGGCAUCGUGACCUCAGGGAUGCUUGGUAUGGCAAACAAAGUCGGCAACGUAGCAGUCGGCAUGACCGGCAUUGGCGGCACUGCAAGCUUCGGAACAGUCGGUACCACCGGCAUAGGCGACGACGUGGGAAGUGAGGGUGGAAGUGCUGCAGGGGCUUCGGCGGUGUCGAGCAAAUGGCGUGCUGCACCGCAUGUCAAAUGGGUAGCCAAGAGAAGGGAUGUGAGAAAGCUCAUUCCGUAGAGGGCAGCCAUGGAAGUCAUGGAUGUGCUUGCCCAAGUUUCAGCAGGGUCUGGGAUAUGAUGAAGAAGGAAGAGCUAGGGCUGUGCUUGUGAUGGUGGUGAUGCAG
Molecule: long non-coding RNA, 19657 nt
Filed under: Musa acuminata (dwarf banana)
Lineage: Eukaryota; Viridiplantae; Streptophyta; Magnoliopsida; Zingiberales; Musaceae
Description: long non-coding RNA (MACU_LNC003034)
Source: RNAcentral